Molecule: ribosomal RNA, 492 nt
Filed under: uncultured bacterium
Lineage: Bacteria
Description: partial 16S ribosomal RNA
Rfam family: Bacterial small subunit ribosomal RNA
Source: RNAcentral
AGUGAACGCUGGCGGUAGGCCUAACACAUGCAAGUCGAACGGCAGCACAGUAAGAGCUUGCUCUUACGGGUGGCGAGUGGCGGACGGGUGAGGAAUACAUCGGAAUCUACUUUUUCGUGGGGGAUAACGUAGGGAAACUUACGCUAAUACCGCAUACGACCUACGGGUGAAAGCAGGGGAUCUUCGGACCUUGCGCGACUGAAUGAGCCGAUGUCGGAUUAGCUAGUUGGCGGGGUAAAGGCCCACCAAGGCGACGAUCCGUAGCUGGUCUGAGAGGAUGAUCAGCCACACUGGAACUGAGACACGGUCCAGACUCCUACGGGAGGCAGCAGUGGGGAAUAUUGGACAAUGGGCGCAAGCCUGAUCCAGCCAUGCCGCGUGGGUGAAGAAGGCCUUCGGGUUGUAAAGCCCUUUUGUUGGGAAAGAAAAGCAGCAGGUUAAUACCCCGCUGUUCUGACGGUACCCAAAGAAUAAGCACCGGCUAACUUCGUG